GCUGGGGCUGAGUGGUAAAGUGUUUGCCUAGCAUACAUGAGGCCUUGGGUUUGAUCUCCAGCACCGCA
RNAcentral lists this transfer RNA (68 nucleotides) under Marmota monax (woodchuck). RNAcentral describes it as "tRNA.Ala". The record is from RNAcentral. Lineage: Eukaryota; Metazoa; Chordata; Mammalia; Rodentia; Sciuridae.